RNAcentral lists this ribosomal RNA (481 nucleotides) under uncultured bacterium. RNAcentral's name for it is "bacterial SSU rRNA". It matches the Rfam family "Bacterial small subunit ribosomal RNA", at positions 28 to 521 of the family's 1533-position model. The record is from RNAcentral.
GAUGAACGCUGGCGGCGUGCUUAACACAUGCAAGUCGAACGAAGAUGCCGGAGUGCUUGCACUUUGGCAGACUGAGUGGCGGACGGGUGAGUAACGCGUGGGUAACCUGCCUUAUACAGGGGGAUAACAGUUGGAAACGACUGCUAAUACCGCAUAAGCGCACGGUAUCGCAUGAUACAGUGUGAAAAACUCCGGUGGUAUAAGAUGGACCCGCGUCUGAUUAGCUUGUUGGUGAGGUAACGGCCCACCAAGGCGACGAUCAGUAGCCGGCCUGAGAGGUGAACGGCCACAUUGGGACUGAGACACGGCCCAGACUCCUACGGGAGGCAGCAGUGGGGAAUAUUGCACAAUGGGGGAAACCCUGAUGCAGCAACGCCGCGUGAGUGAAGAAGUAUUUGGUAUGUAAAGCUCUAUCAGCAGGAAAGAAAAUGACGGUACCUGACUAAGAAGCCCCGGNUAACUACGUGCCAGCAGCCGCGGU